This is a long non-coding RNA of Bombyx mori (domestic silkworm), 8949 nucleotides long. RefSeq lists it as uncharacterized. The transcript has 5 exons. The record is from RefSeq and is a predicted model, not a curated record. NCBI's taxonomy places the organism in Eukaryota, Metazoa, Arthropoda, Insecta, Lepidoptera, Bombycidae.
UGUUGCUAGUGUCACUUAUGAAUUUGUAACAACUUGCACGGUCGGUAAUUAAUAAACCGGCACUAUGCCAGAUCGCGACAAGUCACCGGAGGGAUCCCUUGUCGAGUACAACGGCUGCCCCACUCUUCAAACAGAAACGCAUUUCUGCUUCAUGACAGAAAUAGGCAGAAUAGUCGUACUCAUCCGUGCGGACUCACAAGACGUCCUACCACAAGUCAGUACAACGGCCAUGGUGAAACCCGCUGUACCAGUGCGUACCUCUGUCGCCGAUGAACUCGCUGAAGUCGACGCUGCCGUCGCGGUUGGCGUCCUUCUCCCGCAGAGCCUGCUGCACCAGGAACUCGUGCAUCUCGGAGUGCUCCUCCGGAUUCGUGAACACCUGCACGAUAAGGCGAUACCAAAGUUUGAUAACUGUUACGCCGAUAUUUGAAAUCAAUUCAAACAAAUAUAAUUGCGUAAGUAGAUAUGGAUGGAUUGCGUGAAAGACGAUAUGGGUAAGAGGGGAGUGAGCGAAGAAAUGAUAUAUGAUAGAGAAGUAUGGACGGAGAAAACACGUUUCACCCACCCCAGAUGACUGGGAGAAGUGCAGGAGAAUGACGAUAAUUACGUAAGUAGAGCUAGAUAUAUAGUUACGUAUAUAAAUAUUGGAAUAUAAAUAUAAAAAUUGGAAUGAUAGAUACAUAUGCAAUCCUAUAUAAUUGUGCAAUAUAUUAGUCUCUAAAAUCAAGAUUGAUAUUUCUUUUUAUAGUUUAGUUAGCGUUCGAUCAGCUUACGUACAGUAUUAUGAUAAUCUUAAAACUUAUAUCAGAUUUAAUUAAGAUUGUACAUACUACAUACACACAUACAUACUACAUAAUGUAUUGGUGCAUAUUUAUUAUUUGUUUAUAAUUGAACUUAACAUUGGUGCAACAUCGUGUAACCAAUGCUACAGGGCGUUGUGCACUAAGUGUGUGUGUGUGUGUGUGCUCGCUAGUGUCAGUGACCGCGAUACGUACAGGGUGCUCUGACGUGUGUGAUUCAAUUAUAUAUUUUUUUAAAUAUUAAUUGUAUAUUACUGGAGUCUAUUUAACAUUGUUUCUAAUUUCCGAAGAAAAUCUUUUAGAUCAGCUUGGUAUAUGUCGGGAUGUUAUUUAGAGUAAGAUUAAUGUUUUCCGAUUAGUUUCGUUAUAAUGAAACGCUUCUCUUAAAAUUUUCGAUUCAUUCAGUGAGUGUACCACAAUUAAAAGCUAGGACUGUAAAACAAAAGUACGUGCCAAUAUUAAAUCAUAAUGUAAUAAUUACCUCAAAUUCAUCAAGAUUCAAUUUCCCGUCGCCGUUCUUAUCGGCGACCGACCACAUCGCUUUCUCUUCUUGUAACAGCUGUUGGAAAAAUAUUUUGUCUUCACAACAGUGACUUAAGUCAGAUUAGACGAAUUACUAAUAAUUACUGAAGUUUGUUACCGGUUUAAAGGGCAGAAAAGCCGUUAUGUGGUUCAAUUGAAAUUCGACUCUAUGUUUCAAGGUGCAUAGCGGUAUUCACAUUCUCAUCUAAAUAUACUAUAGGCUUUGAAUAACCACGUACCAGCUUCGUCUGUUUAAAGGGCGGAAAAGCCGUUAUGUGGUCCAAUUGAAUUUCGACUCUUAUGUUUCAAGGUGCAUAGCGGUAUUCACAUUCUCAUGUAAAUAUACUAUAGGCUUUGAAUAACCACGUACCAGUUUCGUCUGUUUAAAGGGUGGAAAAGCCGUUAUGUGGUUCAAUUGAAAUUCGACUCUAUGUUUCAAGGUGCAUAGCGGUAUUCACAUUCUCAUCUAAAUAUACUAUAGGCUUUGAAUAACCACGUACUAGUUUCGCCGAUUUAAAGGGCGGAAAAGCCGUUAUGUGGUCCAAUUGAAUUUCGACUCUAUGUUUCAAGUUGCAUAGCGGUAUUCGCAUUCUCAUGUAAAUAUACUAUAGGCUCUGAGUAACCACAUACCAGUUUCGCAGUGAGUUCAUUUGCGUUUGUUAUCUACAGCGAUAAAAAUUUAUGUUAAAAUGAACGUUUGUCUUGUUUGUUAGUACGUGAUUUAUGCGCUAGCACCUCUUUCUUUCAAUAAAAAAAAAAUACAGUUUUAUAUCGCAUUAAAUAAAUUAAAAUCUGGGUGAAAGACGCAACUAAAAAAUCAAAAGUGAACAAAAAAAAGAAAUCCUUUAAGACCGGUUCAUUUACCGAACCGUAUUCCACUAUGAAUAAAUUCGGCAUACCGGUUUGAUUGCUACCUAUAUACAUAUGUAACACUUAUUCUUCGCAUAAAUAAAAAAAAUAAAACAACAAAUUCAAUUUGCGUGAUUGACGUUGACCACGUAUACCGUUGUGACGUAAAUAAAACGUCAGAAACUGUUAAUAAAAAUGUAAGAUCGACACCAAAAUUCUCCAAUUAUUACCAAGAACAAGACCUGGCUGUAUGGACUAAAGUCCUUUGCCUUUCCCAUUAGGGAUAAAUUAAUACCAUCAUGUAAGAUCGACAAUUAAGGCAUCCAAGCAACGUCGUCACCCGGUAGAAGUGUAAGUAAUGUCCGCACCCGUACCAUGCCAGAGUCUCCCGUGUCUUCUGGUCCGACCUCCUCCUCGGUGUCCACUCCGAACGCGUCUUGCAGGUACUCGGACCAAGUCACAGACCCGUCGCGGUUCUCGUCCGCUUCUGACAUACGUUCUUCUGCCUCUUCUCUGGAUAGCUUCCUGUUGUUAACAGCGGUAUAAAUAUAUAGCAAUCAUUAUAUAACAUGUGUACUUCAGGUUCUCUAUUAAUAACCCACUACCUAUUACCCCUCACUCUCCACCAUCCAGUGGCUGAACAAAACCUGUGUCCGUAAGCAUAGUAGUAUAGGACACUGGGUUAUUUGGAUCUCAAUUCACACCCGAUCCUGUAGACCGAAUGGUAAAUAAUCGAUGUGGCCCAAAACACGUCAUUACGUAUCCUCCCGAUCCAUUAACGGUGCUUCUAGAUACCACAAGCACCGGUCACCGUCCUCGUCGAACCCGUCGUUUGCGACGAAGGGCUCGACGAGUGAAUUAACCCGUGGACACAGCCCACUGAGUUUCUCGCCGGAUCUUCACAGUGGGUCGCGUUUCCGAUCCGGUGGUAGAUUCUGCGAAGCACUGCUCUUGCUAGGGCCAGUGUUAGCAACACUCCGGUUUGAGCCCUGUGAGCUCACUUAUUUGUUAGGGCGAAGCUGAAAUAGCCUCUCAAGGCAUAGGUAGGGAAUAAAAAAAUUGGAUCUCGUGGCUAGGCAAACAUCAAGCUGGAGAAAAGGACAUCUCAGUGAUUGGUACCUAUAGUACAACCUGGAGGUGACUGCUAUGCGCUACAAAACAGUUUUUCUACUGAUGAGAGAUUACGAUGGGUGCAGAAAAGGAAGAACACAACUUUCAUAUUUAUUUUGUGCAAAUCUUUGCCGAUUCUAACAGAAUAGCUAUGGAUAGCAUCCAUUUUUGCAUAGUGUUCAAGGGAGUAAGAAUUCAAUAGCAUUUAAUGACUAUAAUACAGUUACCACCCUGUCCGCAAAGCUAAAGUAAUGUAAAUAAUGGAAUUUUAUCAUAUAGUGAAAUUUAUUAAAAUAUUCCAAAGCACUUAAUGAAAUUAAUAUUGUGUUUAGUGAAUAGUGGUUAGAAAAAUAAAUAUAUAUAUAUAUAUAUAUAUAUAUUUAUCUUAUUUUUAUCUAUCACACCUCCUUCAUAACGAAGUCAUUUUUAAAAAUUUAAAGAAAAAAUUGUCUUCAUGUAUUAAAAAUAUCAUGUCAAACUUUGAGGGGCACACUAAAUUCCCUAAAUGUAUAAAACUAAUGUAUUCUGUAUAUGCCAUUAGAAUUCACUAAAAAAAAAUCUAGGUUUUAUCUGGACUAAAAAUACUUAAUAAAAAAAUUAAUGUUCAAAUCAAAUCAUAUUCCUUUGUUUUGAAAACGAUACUCGUAGGAUAUACCUGUGUUCAGUUCUUUUCGAUUGUAAAUAAUAUAUAUUUGCUGAAAACGAAAACGCGGGUGUUGCAUCUUAUCAUAAAUUAACUAAUGAAAUAAACAAACAAAUCUAUUAUUUUUGUUAUCAGUUAACUGUAAAUGUACCACAUGUGAGUAGUUAAUGUAAGAUUCCAUGCUGUGGGUGUUAGGUAAUGUUACAAUAAACAAUUCUAUCUUCUGUAUUGUUUACUAUUGUAAGAAGAAUGUUUGAAAUUUUUGUAUCUCAAUUUUUUUGUAUUCAGUCCAACACUUAUGCAUUGAGAUCCAAGUAUCGAGGUAGAGUAAGACGAAAUAGCAAGUCUCUCUUAACUCAAGUGCAUGCCAGUCUUCACACUUUAGGUCUCAAGUAAACUGAUUAAGAUGGCCAAUGCCUGAGAUAACAGGUUAAACUAUUGAAGGAACUGGCAUGGUGAUUGUGAGAUAACUCCCAUCGGCAUGAGACAAUUUCUGCAGAACUAAUAUUGUAGGUCCAAGUAAUGGAUCAAAGGAAUAAUUUUUUUUAUUUCAAAACUAUCAUAUAUUGUAUUGUAUUGACAUUAGGACAUAUGAAUUUUGAGUGUUAUGAAUUUACUUAGAUUUAACCUAAUUUAUUAUUUUAUUAUUUCAUUUAAUUACUACAAGAAUAAUGAAUAAAGAAUAAUCUUACUGAAAUUCAUAACUAAAACAUUCUGUGGCAAUGAAAUACAAAUGUAACACAGGAAAAGUGGUGGAAUAGAAAGACUAAGACACAUGAUAGCAAUAGUGAUUCUUAACUGUACACAGUUACUAUUUAAUACAUUUAGGCUUAAAUAAUAUAUGUAUUUUGUAAUUUAUGUAUGUUGCAAUGGAUAUAAUAACUUUUUAAAGCAUUCAAAUACAUGGGUUCUGGUUUUGGGAGGGUGUCAGGGUUGAGGCUGCAUCUUUUGACAUUUCAUCGCAUGUUAAAAAAAUAUUAUCAUUGUUGGAUUUAGGAAAUAGUCUUUUUUGAUUUUAUUAAGAUGGCAGUUACUGCCCUGCAAUAAGCCAAAAGAAAAGUUUCUUUUUGCGCAGAAUGUUCUGUGAGUAUAUGUAAUAAAUGAGAUCAGCAGGAUUGUUUAAAUCAGAUCUUGUUUGAGACACAAAGAAAAGCAUACUACAUCUAUACACCCAUAGUUACUAUUGAAAUUUAUAUACACUGUUUUCAAAUUUUUUUUGGAAAUCAUUGAUUUUAAUAUUAGAUUUAUAAUUUUCUUUAAAUCAUAUAAAUUAUUAUUAAUUAUUUUAUUAAAUAUAAAUCAUUAGUUAUUCUCACUUACACAAAAGAGUUUAGAAUCCAUUUCUUAAGUUCAAUUCGGUCAAUGUUCUGAUCGUUGUUGAGAUCCAUCUUGGGUAGCAUUAGAGCCAGGCGCCGCUUUGCCUCCUCAGGGCUCAGACGAUCAAACUCCUCGCUCUCCUUCACGCUGCCUAUGGAGUAAAAAUACGUGACCACCAGGAUGCACGGCACAGUGACCAGCAGCGCGUGUUUAACGGACAUGACACGCGGCUUCCUUUGCGAUUCUUAUCGUACACUAACAUUGCAACAGCCCGCCGAGAGCCGCUACGUCACAAUCACCAAGAAAGGUAAUAAAACGCACCUAAAAUGGCUUCGUGAUCAAAUUCCGUGUUGUGCCCAGAGUCUCCAUAGUGCUCGUGGUCCCUGGACCGGUAGCUGCCGUCAGAUUCGCGCUCCAAGUUAUCAACACUAUGUCCGUGUGCGGCGGCCGACGAGAAAUACAAAUUAUUAAACAGAAGAAUAAUUAAAACACAUCUGUAGGCCAUCUUAUCAAACAUAUGCAAGAACUGGUUCGAUUUUAAUCUCAGCUUAAUACUUUUGUUAUGCAAAUUUCAUUAUAUAUCCUUGUUUAUUUUUAUAGGUUCAAUGAAACUGCUAAGAAUACCGAAUGACAGGACUAAUUGUUGAUUGACAGAUGGGCGGAUGUUUAGUUUAGUUUGUUCUCUUUGUUGUUUUAAUUUAACUGAGAGGCAGAGUAAACUAGUCUAGAAGUGCCAAGUAGAAGUUUACAGUAGUUCCAAAAUCCUAGGAAAGACAAAUUAAUUUAUUACAAUUUUAGUUAAGAAAAUUAUAGUUGUGAAAAUCUUUAAUUGAUUUUAUAGUACAUGGAGCCUAGUUUGCUGCUUGUUUGUAACAGAUAGUCCAAACUCAAUAACGUAUCAGCAAUAUAAAUCACAAUACAGUAGAGGUAUUCAUUGUACAUGCAAACUUUUUUAAAUAAUAAUUUUAUAUGUUCUAGUUGAGUAUUAACUACAAUGGAAGCUAUACUUUUCUAGACAAAUAAGUACAUAUCUUGUGCAAAUAAUGGAUCGAAGAUUUAUUGAUUCCAUUUGGAAAACAACACAUGUUAUUUUAGUGUGCAUUACUAAUUCGAAGAAAAAUAAGUAGAAAUGACGUAGUCUGUAGUAAUAAACAACAUUUAUUUCAACAAAUUAUCUGCAGCCAUAACGAUCAACGCCACUCUGCGGCUUGCAACAUGGUUUGGAAAUGAAGAAAGGAACUUCGUGAGAUGUCUGCGAACUUCUCCUACGACCAGGGGGAGGUAUGCUCGGGUGUCAGGUGUUGGCGGGAAAACAACGACGCGGAUGUUACGGUUACGGAAACUGAAGAAAGACACGUGGCAUACCAUGAACUGGUAUAAUAAUACAUUUGGAGACUUCGUGGCGUAAGGGAGCGGGAUUUGCCUAUUCGUUGUUUCCAGUCACAAGAAUCACGCAUGCCUAUUAAUAGAGCUGUUAGUAGUAGGCGUCUUUUUCAUCUGUAGUUAGACCAUUGUUAUUGUGAGUAGGUAUAUAUUUUAUCAAGUGUUGUUAUUUAAAUAAGCAAAAACAAAAGAGUUAAGUACAAUUUUCUUCUCUGUUUAUCAAUAGAUUUAGUUUUACUGUUAUCAUUCAAUUAUUUUCCUAAAUACUUUUUUUAAUGUCAAUAACAAAUUAAAACACAAAUGUAUUUUAAAUAAAAUAUUUAAAUUGAAUCUAAAGAAUUGUGGUAUGGCGGUGUUUACGGUCGAAUCCGGGUUAUUAGGUUAAUCUAGUUAAUCUCAAAACAGACAUUCAAUAAAAGCUUCCUCGAUGACUUUGGUGAUGUGCCGCACAAGACGCCGAUGCGAGCGUUCCAACACAGGCAGGUAUAAAGUUGAACAGUCACUUGAGACGCAACUCCCGAUCACUUCCUUCACUGAUUCGGCCGUGGCUCGUACCAUCUGUUCUUUUAACUCCUGCCACAGAUAAAUUAUAUAAUUAGGACGGGUUGCUUUGUUCAAGGUUCCUGCGUCCCUCUUUUUUUUUAUGAAUUUUUCAAUCUACUACGCGCGCUUCCUGAUUUCGAAAUUUUCACAUGCGAUAAAUUUUCAAAUUCCUAAGUAAUAUGGAAAGCCUACAUGAUAAACUAGAUCGUCUUCUUUCUUAACGCAAUAAAAAUGCAAAAUAAGCUAAAUAUAUAAUAUACCACCACACUACACUAUAACAUGUAUGGUCGUAAUAAAAUGUUAAUUUAAUAGUUUUGGAACAGUUUUGUCGUGCUGUAGCCCUGAAUACUAAGAACGGUUGGCGACCGAAAAUAAAAUAGAAUUGAAAGUAGCUUCAGCACAGUGAUAGCAUAGAUGAUAUAGAUUAUAAUGAAGAUAUUGGUAUUACACCUCUUAAUAAUAUUUAAAACUAAGUAUACGAUAGCUAAAAAAUUAUAUAUAGCGAAACUAUUUAUAAUAUUUCACUUCUAUUGACUGCAAUCAACAUAGAAAUACAAUAAAAAUGAAAAUCGACCUUAUCUCUUAGAACGGGUGGUGGUUGAUGUGGCAGUAACCAUUUACGCCAGAUGAUUCUAUCUUAUACAGGGCGCUAUAAAAAAAUACGCAUAAAAGCUUGAGGCCUACCUGCUGCUAAGUGGUUGUCGGAUACAAUCGAGACUACAUGGUCAUGUCAGGAAAAAAUAGGACAAGACUUUAUUACUUCAUCACCAUCUUCUUCUUCUUUUUCUCCACCUUAUCCCACUAGGUGGGGUCGGCACAGCAAUUUUUAUUUUUCCAUUCUCUUCUAUCAACCGUCAUAUCAACACUCACUCCUCUCUCUCUCUCUCUCUCAUGUCGUCAUUCACACACUACAUCCAUGUCUUCUUCGGUCGACCUUUCCCCCCUCUACCUUGCACUACCAUUUCCAUACAUCUCCUAGUCAGAUGCAUCUUCUCCUACGCAUCACAUACCGCGCUAACCGUCCGCGCUUACUUCAUCACCGUUUUAACAAUGAUAAUUGAUAAAUCAAAGACUAUAUAGCAAGAAAGAGCAACUUGCGGCCCGCCAAGCAUUUCUAAGAUUGAAUUUAUUUUAUCGACAUUCUCCCAUCAAUUCGUUUUUCUGCUCUUUUCUUGUUCGUUUUUAAUAAAGAAAAAAGGAUUCGUAAAUUAUUAAUAAAAGUUAAUAUAUUAUGUGCGGCCCGCCAAAAAACAUUAAAUUUAAAUUGGCCUAUUGAUUAAAAAGGUUGCUCACUCCUGCUAUAGAGUAUUCUAACUAACCUCGCUCUGCAAGAAGUUGACUAGAGCAUUGCUGAUUUCCCGGUCCAUGGAGAUCCCGCGCUUAGAUUCAAUAGCAUCCAGUAAAGUUUUGGCGCGAACGUUGAUUGAUUGGUCUUUCAUGCUGGAAGCAUCUGCUUUGUCUAGAUCUUUAAUUCUGUACAAAUUAUGUUAUUUGUUUUAAUGUGUUUCAAACAUACCUAUACCUCAAUUAAGUCGUUGAAAUUCUACAUAAUUAGAACUUGAUCUUCCCUUGACAGCUUAGGUAAGUAAAUGACGUGAAGGAAUCCUCGCUAGUAUCAUUAAAGUGUACAUAAUAGGUACCUACUUUUACUUAUAUAUACUUAGAUAAUACUUAUUUAACAAUUGUCACGACAUAGGGACACUUGGAUUCUCUAAAUUUCACUACUUUCCAUUUGAUAAAAGGAAGCGCGCACCACCUGCCUUGAAUAUACAAUGUCAAAAA